GUAAAUAAACAAAUUGGUUCCGGACUUAAAAUCCCUCAGCCGCAAGGCUAUGCGGGUUCGACCCCCGCUCCGGGCACCA
This 79-nucleotide transfer RNA is filed under the name Dyella jiangningensis. Its description in RNAcentral is "tRNA-Leu (TAA) (tRNA-Leu-TAA-2-1)". Lineage: Bacteria; Pseudomonadati; Pseudomonadota; Gammaproteobacteria; Lysobacterales; Rhodanobacteraceae. The record is from RNAcentral.